ACCAAAAUCAGUCUUUGGUACCCAAAAUGUCAGUUGGAGAAACAAGCACUUCUGAGAAUACCCCGUGAAAAAACAGUCUGCAAACCUGAGAGGAUUGGGCUGUGUGUGUGCAGACUUCACCAAGGCACUCUUCUGAAACUUGAAUGAGAAGAGACUCUGGGCUUUAUCUGUGAGACAUCCUAUGGCUGAGAGGAAACAAGGCAAAUUUGCUAGAUUUGAUAUAGAACAUUCAAAGCAUGAGGUCAUCUAAGGGAAUGAAGACACUGUAAGUUUACUGCUCUUUAUUUGAGAAUGAUAUCUUCAAGGUCAACCUUGCAUUAUGUGUCUUCCCCUAGUCCUACUCUUCCCUGCUCACAAGCUCAUCCCUGUGAGGGACAGAACAUUAAAGACAGACACUUGCUUGGAAAGACUAAGAGUCUGAUCCAAAACUAUAAGCAAAAGACCUCAUGCAUAGUAAGUGCCUGAUAAUAAUCUAAGGAAGGAAAACACAGGGAAGGUCAUUUAUCACAUUUAUUAAAUUCAAAAUGCAACAAAACUGCCUAUCAAAAGUGAAGAUAAUUAAAAGUAUCUACAAGAACUAAAUGUCUGCUAGUUAGAGUUUAGCCUCAGAUGCAAAAUAAUCAGCCUUCUCUUGCCGUUAUGAAAAUUCCAUAAGCUAAAAGAACUACCUUCCCCAGUCCAGAUGUGGCUCUUUCUAUCAAACAACACCCAAGCAGCAGGAGAACAUGAUUUGAGACAAAGUCCCCACCUGAUGCUCCAGUAGAACUUGGAAUGAAUGGACUCAGGGCAUUGAAUAUGGGGGGAGGGGGUAUUUGUGACCACUGCAUAAGCUGACUUUUCACUGGAUGAUUCUGAACAGACCCCAAGAAUUCGAUUGGGUGAGUGUGCUAUAAUCAGAUGCCAAGGCAUAAAGUUCACACAUGAUGGAUUAAGUCAAGGUCAAUGCCAGCUUCACUGGGUGUGUUAUGCAUCUUGCAACAUGAAUGGAUUUAUGCUUCGGAGUUUGACAGCUGUGGCGCCAGAAGAUAAACAAAGUUACAAGAUCAUUCAUGAAAGUUCAACUUGCUGGAAAAACUGGAGAGCACAUGGCUGGCCAAGACCUUUCAAGAUCAGGCAGGUACAAACAAGGCUUUGUCUUGGAUAUUACGGGAGGCCCCUCCAAAACAGCAGCAGUCAACACCAAUCACAGUAGCAGCUCCUGCCAACCAACUCUGUGGCCGCAUGCUUGGUUUUCAGGUGCCCUUGGGCCCUGUUCAUCAGCAAGCAUCACACCUUCCUGAGCAAAAGACUCUGGGGAGGAAGGUGAAGACCUACUAUCCAGACACCACUCAGGAGAGGAGAGUGUGGGCCAUGAACUAGCCUGAGAAAUAUGUUAGCUAUCCUGUGUAUGCCUUGUCCAGUCACCUGCCAUCUGCCACUGGGGACCUCUUGACUGCUCUGAUGCUGAAUUCCCUUAACUGUCCAU
This 1465-nucleotide long non-coding RNA is filed under the name Marmota monax (woodchuck). The record is from RNAcentral. Lineage: Eukaryota; Metazoa; Chordata; Mammalia; Rodentia; Sciuridae.